This 202-nucleotide ribosomal RNA is filed under the name uncultured bacterium. RNAcentral describes it as "partial 16S ribosomal RNA". It matches the Rfam family "Bacterial small subunit ribosomal RNA", at positions 524 to 725 of the family's 1533-position model. The record is from RNAcentral.
UACGUAGGGUGCAAGCGUUAAUCGGAAUUACUGGGCGUAAAGCGUGCGCAGGCGGUUUUGUAAGUCUGUCGUGAAAGCCCCGGGCUCAACCUGGGAAUUGCGUUGGAGACUGCAAGGCUUGAAUCUGGCAGAGGGGGGUAGAAUUCCACGUGUAGCAGUGAAAUGCGUAGAGAUGUGGAGGAACACCGAUGGCGAAGGCAGC